CUCCUACGGAGGGCAGCAGUGGGGAAUAUUGGACAAUGGGGGCAACCCUGAUCCAGCGAUGCCGCGUGAGUGAAGAAGGCCUUCGGGUUGUAAAACUCUUUCACCUGUGAAGAUAAUGACGGUAGCAGGAGGAGAAGCACCGGCAAACUCUGUGCCAGCAGCCGCGGUAAUAC
This 173-nucleotide ribosomal RNA is filed under the name uncultured bacterium. Its description in RNAcentral is "partial 16S ribosomal RNA". It matches the Rfam family "Bacterial small subunit ribosomal RNA", at positions 336 to 526 of the family's 1533-position model. The record is from RNAcentral.